This 253-nucleotide ribosomal RNA is filed under the name uncultured bacterium. Its description in RNAcentral is "partial 16S ribosomal RNA". It matches the Rfam family "Bacterial small subunit ribosomal RNA", at positions 524 to 776 of the family's 1533-position model. The record is from RNAcentral.
CACGUAGGGUGCAAGCGUUGUUCGGAAUUACUGGGCGUAAAGGGCUCGUAGGCGGCCAACUAAGUCGGAUGUGAAAUCCCCAGGCUUAACCUGGGAACUGCAUCCGAUACUGGAUGGCUUGAAUCCGGGAGAGGGAUGCGGAAUUCCAGGUGUAGCGGUGAAAUGCGUAGAUAUCUGGAGGAACACCGGUGGCGAAGGCGGCAUCCUGGACCGGCAUUGGCGCUGAGGAGCGAAAGCCAGGGGAGCAAACGGG